RNAcentral lists this ribosomal RNA (119 nucleotides) under Propithecus coquereli (Coquerel's sifaka). The record is from RNAcentral. Lineage: Eukaryota; Metazoa; Chordata; Mammalia; Primates; Indriidae.
GUCUACAGCCAUACCACCCUGAAUGCACUCAAUCUCAUCUAAUCUCAGAAGCUAAGCAGGAUUGGGUGUGGUUAGUACUUGGAUGGGAGACCACUGGGGAAUACUAGGUGCUGUAGCUU